AUGAACGCUGGCGGCGUGCCUAAUACCUGCAAGUCGAGCGAACAGACGAGGAGCUUGCUCCUCUGACGUUAGCGGCGGACGGGUGAGUAACACGUGGAUAACCUACCUAUAAGACUGGGAUAACUUCGGGAAACCGGAGCUAAUACCGGAUAAUAUAUUGAACCGCCUGGUUCAAUAGUGAAAGACGGUUUUGCUGUCACUUAUAGAUGGAUCCGCGCCGCAUUAGCUAGUUGGUAAGGUAACGGCUUACCAAGGCGACGAUGCGUAGCCGACCUGAGAGGGUGAUCGGCCACACUGGAACUGAGACACGGUCCAGACUCCUACGGGAGGCAGCAGUAGGGAAUCUUCCGCAAUGGGCGAAAGCCUGACGGAGCAACGCCGCGUGAGUGAUGAAGGUCUUCGGAUCGUAAAACUCUGUUAUUAGGGAAGAACAAAUGUGUAAGUAACUAUGCACGUCUUGACGGUACCUAAUCAGAAAGCCACGGCUAACUACGUG
Molecule: ribosomal RNA, 496 nt
Filed under: uncultured bacterium
Lineage: Bacteria
Description: partial 16S ribosomal RNA
Rfam family: Bacterial small subunit ribosomal RNA
Source: RNAcentral